CUAAGAGUUCCACAGAACAGAUUUUAAGUGUCCAAAAUACUUUGGUUCUGCAGUUCCAGAGCACAAAUAUAUGGAAUGAAACGGUGAUCUUAAAGACUAAACAGGAAGAAAUAUACGCCCAAUAAAAAAAAGGGCAAGAAUAAGGGUACAGGUCAUAAGCAAAAGCUGAGUUUACAAGAAAAAUCUGUAUUUUGCCAAAGAGAUCAUUAUCCACAUGGGGACAGAGUAGUGAUCCAUAAAGAGGAAUAAUGUCCUGGGAUGUGCCACCACAUGGAUAAACCUUGAGGACAUUAUCUUAAGUGAAGGAGAUAAUCACGAAAGGCCACGUGUUACACAAUCUUCUUCAUGAAAUGUCCAGAAUAAGCAAAUCCAUAGAGAAAGAAUGUAGACAAGUGGUUGUUUCGUGUUGAGAUACCGGGUAUAGGGAGCAUGCUAAUGAAUUGAGGUUUCUUUUGGGGAUGAUAAAAGUGUUCUAGAAUUAAAAUGCUAGCAACCAAUGCACAAUUUUAAGAAUAUAUUAAAACCCACUGAAUUGUACCUAGUUUUUGUACAUGUUUUUUUUUCUUUUAAACAGGGUCUCGCAAGGUAGUCCAGGCUGGCCUUGAACUCACAAUGUAGUCCAGGUAUUCACUUAGACCAAUCAAAAUAUAUUGGAUUUCAUCUGUAAGUCAGUUCUUAUGAUGUAAAAAGAGACACCGGUGAACAGAGAAGUUAUCUUAACUAGUUAAAUACACACAAAAUCAGACCCUCCCCUCCGAAAUUCAAAGACUCAAUCCAAAAAUGGGCAUCUCAGAUGAAUACACACUUCUCAGAUGAAGAAAUACAAAUUACAAAUACAUGAAAAAAUAUUCAACAUCUCUGGUCAUUUGAGAUACAAAUUAAAACAACACUGAGAUUCCAUCUUAUCCCAGAAAAAAAUGGCUAACAUAAAAAAUGAACCGAUAACAAAUGCUGACAGGAGUGUGGGGGGAACCCUUCCACACUGCUGGUGGGAGUGUAGACUGGUGAAGCCACUGUGGAAAUCAGUGUGGAGUUUCUUUUAAAGAGUAGGAUUAGAGGUCCUGUUUGACCUAGGUCUUCCCCUCCUGGAUACCUUCCCAGAAGAAUUAAAAACACCACACCAUAGCAAUAUAUGUGCACCCAUGUUUGUAAUAACUAAAUCUUAUAAACAACACAAUCUGUAAUAACUAUAUCUUGUAAACAACCCAAAUGCCCAUUGAGGAAUGGAUAAAAAAUAUUUGAUCUUUUUUAUAUAAUGGAGUACUACUCAGCUAUAAAGAAGGAAAAACUGGAAACUUUUCUAGGUAAAUGGAUGAAACCUGAGACCAAACUCAUAAGUAAAACAAAUUAGAUGUGCAUGUAUCAACAUUGUAUUUUUUCACUUGUGUGAGCAACUGAAUGAGUAAAUAAGGCCCAAAAUGUACAACAGACACUGCAAAUUGAGAAGAACCUGUCGAAAAGAAAAGACUAACUGUGAUGAAGAAAAGGGGAAAGGAAAAAAUAUAUUUAUACACAAAAUAGUUAAGAUAGUUGUACAGCUAAUUGCUCUUAGUUCAUUGAAAAGAAAGAUUUGUGCUAAUAUUGUUUGGACAAGAUGUCUACACCUUGUGCUCUGAAUCACUACUAUGAAGACAACAGGCAAUGUAUUAAUUACUGUAACUCUCUACUAACCUGUUGGGAAACUUUUUGCUAUUUUAAUUUUUUUUGUCUUUAAAAUAAAAUACACACACGCAUAGGA
Molecule: long non-coding RNA, 1738 nt
Organism: Cavia porcellus (domestic guinea pig)
Lineage: Eukaryota; Metazoa; Chordata; Mammalia; Rodentia; Caviidae
Exons: 2
Source: RefSeq, a predicted model, not a curated record